AUGCACAACGAAAGCAAACUAAAUAUGCAGAUACAUGGAAUCAAGAUUAAGUCUAACAUUCACCCCCUAAUCUUGAUUCUCCUAUCAUCAACGCAGAUCACCCACAACCACUUGCCAAGACUUUGCAGCGCCAAGACCACACCACCUUGCCUCACGCUGCAGCUUCACCAUGCUGCACCAUCGAUCUCCACUUGCAUGUUCUUCAGCGGCAUCACACCACUGGUCACGUACAUCUCGCCGCCGUCGUCGCAGCAGCUCACCUUGGGGAUGGCGUCACACCACCCAAAACACCACCGUCAGCUAGCUUCACAUCUAUCCUCAUGA
Molecule: ribosomal RNA, 324 nt
Filed under: Triticum aestivum (bread wheat)
Lineage: Eukaryota; Viridiplantae; Streptophyta; Magnoliopsida; Poales; Poaceae
Description: partial small subunit ribosomal RNA
Source: RNAcentral